Molecule: ribosomal RNA, 434 nt
Filed under: uncultured bacterium
Lineage: Bacteria
Description: bacterial SSU rRNA
Rfam family: Bacterial small subunit ribosomal RNA
Source: RNAcentral
GAACGCGAAGAACCUUACCCGGGCUUGAAUUGCAGCUGAACGAUCCAGAGAUGGUGAGGCCCUUCGGGGCAGCUGUGAAGGUGCUGCAUGGUUGUCGUCAGCUCGUGCCGUGAGGUGUCGGCUUAAGUGCCAUAACGAGCGCAACCCCUCUCCGCAGUUGCCAUCGGUUGAUGCCGGGCACUCUGCGGACACUGCCUCCGCAAGGAGUGAGGAAGGUGGGGAUGACGUCAAAUCAGCACGGCCCUUACGUCCGGGGCUACACACGUGUUACAAUGGCGCGUACAGAGUGUCGGUGCUGUGCAAACAGUAUCUAAUCAAUAAAACGCGUCCCAGUUCGGACCGGGGUCUGCAACCCGACCCCGCGAAGCUGGAUUCGCUAGUAAUCGCGCAUCAGCCAUGGCGCGGUGAAUACGUUCCCGGGUCUUGUACACACC